RNAcentral lists this ribosomal RNA (460 nucleotides) under uncultured bacterium. RNAcentral's name for it is "bacterial SSU rRNA". It matches the Rfam family "Bacterial small subunit ribosomal RNA", at positions 9 to 469 of the family's 1533-position model. The record is from RNAcentral.
GAGUUUGAUCGUGGCUCAGGAUGAACGCUGGCGGCGUGCCUAAUACAUGCAAGUCGAACGAAUCUUCUUCGGAAGAUGAGUGGCGAACGGGUGAGUAAUACAUAGGUAACCUGCCCCGGAGCGGGGGAUAACAUUUGGAAACAGAUGCUAAUACCGCAUAACAACAAAAGCCACAUGGCUUUUGUUUGAAAGAUGGCUUUGGCUAUCACUCUGGGAUGGACCUGCGGUGCAUUAGCUAGUUGGUAAGGUAACGGCUUACCAAGGCGAUGAUGCAUAGCCGAGUUGAGAGACUGAUCGGCCACAAUGGAACUGAGACACGGUCCAUACUCCUACGGGAGCAGCAGUAGGGAAUCUUCCACAAUGGGCGCAAGCCUGAUGGAGCAACACCGCGUGAGUGAAGAAGGGUUUCGGCUCGUAAAGCUCUGUUGUUGGAGAAGAACGUGCGUGAGAGUAACUGUUC